UCAAGGAUGAACUAUCCUAUUCAUGUCAAAAUUUGUAAAUCUCAAUACUAUACUGUAUAUCCCACGCUAAUAUGUGAAUAAAGGACGAAAAAAAGGUAGAUGACAAUUUACAAGGCCAAGGAAUAAAUAUACAAUACAAACAAAUGAAGGGGUGAUAUACGUUAGUACAUUAUCUAUGUAUAGCUAGAUAGUUAUAUAUCAAUAUCAAUACUACCUUAAAAGCACCAACUUAUCAAAACUUAACAUGAAAUUUCUAAAAUUUCCCCAGCUCAUUAAAUUAAAAUAAACGUAUAUAAAUUCUAAAAUUAACCCCAACCCAUGUACUCUUAUUAACCCUACGUACAUCUAUGCGCUUCAACCUCCCAAGAGGCACCAACGGAAUAGUUUUAGACAGCUCGAUUCGAUGAGCAGACAUUAAUAAUAACAACGUUACUCUUCUUAAAAGUAGAAACGCCAUGGCAGUACCCAGCGAUCUUCCAUCCUCUGUAUAAAGCUAUUAGGUAUACAUUGUUUCUCAAACACCAUAAUUUCAAGUCUUUACUAUUAUUCAUCUACUUCAAAGAUUUAAAUCCAAUGUUCUUUAUGUUUAGAUUUCUGUCAUUGUCCUUGUUUCAUCUAUCUCCUUCCCCUUUUAAAGCUGGACCAAAUCAUUGAUGUAAUUCUCCGCCAACAAAAUCAAGUUGCAAGUAACAUCCAAGCCUUUUCACCUGUCCGACACUCCUAAUCAAGUUUGUUUUGCACUAAUAUAAUCAAUAUGGGAUAUUACUGAAUGGAUUUUGUACAUUCAGAAUUGCACAGUGUUCAUGAUCAAAUUCACAGAUGAAGAGGUUAAACCUUAUCCAAGAGAUGUGAUCUUUUGUUUCAGUAACUUAGAAAAACUCAAUUGUUUUAUUUGCACUGCCCAUCGCCAUCUACGCUAUGGAAAAUGCUCUUUUCUGUUUCAAGUUUAAUAUGGACUCAAAAACAUCUUUUGAGUUUCUGAAUGUUUUGCCCAUUUUGUGUGUUUUGUAACUCAAAAGAUGUGCAUAUCAGCAUCUACCUUAGGUUAUAAAGCUUUGAUUUAU
This is a long non-coding RNA of Capsicum annuum, 1064 nucleotides long. RefSeq lists it as uncharacterized. The transcript is spliced from 2 exons. Lineage: Eukaryota; Viridiplantae; Streptophyta; Magnoliopsida; Solanales; Solanaceae. The record is from RefSeq and is a predicted model, not a curated record.